RNAcentral lists this ribosomal RNA (446 nucleotides) under uncultured bacterium. Its description in RNAcentral is "SSU rRNA". It matches the Rfam family "Bacterial small subunit ribosomal RNA", at positions 26 to 518 of the family's 1533-position model. The record is from RNAcentral.
AGAGCGAACGCUGGCGGCAGGCCUAAUACAUGCAAGUCGAACGGAUCCUUCGGGAUUAGUGGCGGACGGGUGAGUAACACGUGGGAACGUGCCCUUUGGUUCGGAACAACUCAGGGAAACUUGAGCUAAUACCGAAUGUGCCCUUCGGGGGAAAGAUUUAUCGCCAUUGGAGCGGCCCGCGUCUGAUUAGCUAGUUGGUGGGGUAAAGGCCCACCAAGGCGACGAUCAGUAGCUGGUCUGAGAGGAUGAUCAGCCACACUGGGACUGAGACACGGCCCAGACUCCUACGGGAGGCAGCAGUAGGGAAUCUUGCGCAAUGGGCGAAAGCCUGACGCAGCCAUGCCGCGUGAAUGAUGAAGGUCUUAGGAUUGUAAAAUUCUUUCAGCGGGGACGAUAAUGACGGUACCCGCAGAAGAAGCCCCGGCUAACUUCGUGCCAGCAGCCGC